RNAcentral lists this ribosomal RNA (430 nucleotides) under uncultured Pseudomonadota bacterium. Its description in RNAcentral is "bacterial SSU rRNA". It matches the Rfam family "Bacterial small subunit ribosomal RNA", at positions 29 to 505 of the family's 1533-position model. The record is from RNAcentral. Lineage: Bacteria; Pseudomonadati; Pseudomonadota.
AGCGAACGCUGGCGGCAGGCCUAACACAUGCAAGUCGAACGACCCCUUCGGGGGGAGUGGCGAACGGGUGCGUAAUACAUGGGAAUCUACCUUUUACUGGGGGAUAACAGUUGGAAACAGCUGCUAAUACCGCAUAAUACAUAUUGUCAAAGCUCCGGCGGUAGAAGAGGAGCCCAUGGUUGAUUAGCUAGUUGGUGGGGUAAAAGCCUACCAAGGCGACGAUCAAUAGCUGGUCUGAGAGGAUGAUCAGCCACACUGGAACUGAGACACGGUCCAGACUCCUACGGGAGGCAGCAGUGGGGAAUAUUGGACAAUGGGCGCAAGCCUGAUCCAGCCAUGCCGCGUGAGUGAUGAAGGUUUUCGGAUUGUAAAGCUCUUUCGAUGGGGAAGAUAAUGACGGUACCCAUAAAAGAAGUCCCGGCUAACUCCG